ACUGGCCUGCAUUUUGUAUUCUAUUCAUGUCGUUUCAUUACAGGCAGAGCUUUUUUCUAGUGAAUUUUCAUGGAUGUUUUGUAUUUGUAGCAUGCAUACCGAGAUGAUCGGUUGGAGGAAGUUUUUCUUCGUCAUCUUGGAGCGGAAGAUAGGCAGACUGUCAUAGCUAAGAACAUUAGGUUGUCAGACUUUCUCAGUGACUUGCACAUUAGAUGAAUGUUCACCAAUAUCUAUUAAAACGAUAUCUAAAUAAUGCAAGGACCUAUCGCCACACAGCUUU
Hibiscus syriacus is the source of this 280-nucleotide long non-coding RNA. RefSeq lists it as uncharacterized. The record is from RefSeq and is a predicted model, not a curated record. The transcript has 3 exons. Lineage: Eukaryota; Viridiplantae; Streptophyta; Magnoliopsida; Malvales; Malvaceae.